AACGAACGCUGGCGGCAGGCCUAACACAUGCAAGUCGAGCGCGCCCCUCGGGGUGAGCGGCGGACGGGUGAGUAACGCGUGGGAACGUGCCCUUUUCUACGGAAUAGCCUCGGGAAACUGAGAGUAAUACCGUAUACGCCCUUUGGGGGAAAGAUUUAUCGGAAAAGGAUCGGCCCGCGUUGGAUUAGGUAGUUGGUGGGGUAAUGGCCUACCAAGCCGACGAUCCAUAGCUGGUUUGAGAGGAUGAUCAGCCACACUGGGACUGAGACACGGCCCAGACUCCUACGGGAGGCAGCAGUGGGGAAUCUUAGACAAUGGGGGCAACCCUGAUCUAGCCAGGCCGCGUGAGUGAUGAAGGCCUUAGGGUUGUAAAGCUCUUUCAGCUGGGAAGAUAAGGACGGUACCAGCAGAAGAAGCCCCGGCUAACUCCGU
RNAcentral lists this ribosomal RNA (432 nucleotides) under uncultured bacterium. RNAcentral describes it as "partial 16S ribosomal RNA". It matches the Rfam family "Bacterial small subunit ribosomal RNA", at positions 29 to 506 of the family's 1533-position model. The record is from RNAcentral.